RNAcentral lists this long non-coding RNA (1158 nucleotides) under Populus tremula. Its description in RNAcentral is "long non-coding RNA (PTRE_LNC003287)". The record is from RNAcentral. Lineage: Eukaryota; Viridiplantae; Streptophyta; Magnoliopsida; Malpighiales; Salicaceae.
CCUGUUGUGGACGCUCGACUUGCGUUCCCCUGUAGUUGCUGUACUCCUCCUGCGGUUCCUCCUGAAACCACAAACACCCAUCAUUAUCCCAUAUUAAUCCACAUAUCACACGCAACAUCAACAUUCAAAAUAAUAUUCAUUUCUCUUUUACCAAAUCUUUUCUUUCUCAUCACAUACAUUCCUCCCUAUUAUCCUUUAACUUUUCAGCUCAUUAGUAGUCCAAGUGGACAUCAUAAAUUCAAUUUUUUGAUUACAGUUUAUUCUUUUUGAAGAUCAAGACACACUUUAUGAAAAGCAAGAUCACAAAUUCUACACUUGAUAUGGCUAAAUUUCUCCGUUUUAUCAACUUGGCCGAAUCUGCCAGCAGCGGUGGCAGCUCGACCUCUCCUUAGUUUUUUAUUUGUAUAUGGAGUUCUAGGACUCCAAAUUAGGCGAGGUCAGAUUCGUUGGAAAGCUAACACUCCUAGCUACACUUCUAUGAGGGGACCCUCCCUAAAUUUUGUAGUUUUCAGGUCCAAAAUCCCCCCAGGAAACAGGGCAACGAACCUGUCCUGUUUUGCUAAGGAAGAAGGUAUCUCCAUUUCAUCUUAAAUCCAUGCUUCCUCAUCAGUCACAGCCAUGCCUUCCCUUUAUUCAUGGCAUUCCCGUAUCCUUUUAUGUCCUCCUAAUGUCACUGGUAUCAAAUUAAUUAAUUAAACACAUCAUAAGUUCUCAUUCCCUCUCUGCUGUAUCCAGCAGAGAACGUGGCCAAGGGAACCGAGAGUUCCCUUCCUCUCUUUUAUGCACUCAUUUCUUCUUCUUCUUUAAGGCACUUAGAUUAAUCUAAUCCAUUUAACCUCACUCAUUUCUGCAUUUUCCCAACAUUUUAUGUUAAAGAAACCUAAUUCCCAAUUCAAGAAAGGCAUAAACUUCUAAUCAAAUUGAAGUUGAUUUCAUAGAAAUUGGAAUUAGAACUCCUUACUUGGAUGGAAUCUAAACUUUACUUCACAAAUUUUAGAAGAAUCUUAGCCUUCUUCUCCUUGUAUGUUGUCAGCUACUCUUCCCCCUCUUUUCUUCACCAAUUCUUCACUUUUCUUCUUGUUAAUUCUUCCACCCGAUUGUGUUCCUCCACUUUAUAAUUCCAAGGCUUAUUUGGGUUUACUAAUUUUAGGUGUUUAC